GUGUAGCUCAGUGGUAGAGCACUUGUCUGACACAUGUGAGAUCCUGGGUUCGACCCCCAGCAC
Molecule: transfer RNA, 63 nt
Organism: Cavia porcellus (domestic guinea pig)
Lineage: Eukaryota; Metazoa; Chordata; Mammalia; Rodentia; Caviidae
Rfam family: tRNA
About the family: Transfer RNA (tRNA) molecules are approximately 80 nucleotides in length. Their secondary structure includes four short double-helical elements and three loops (D, anti-codon, and T loops). Further hydrogen bonds mediate the characteristic L-shaped molecular structure. tRNAs have two regions of fundamental functional importance: the anti-codon, which is responsible for specific mRNA codon recognition, and the 3' end, to which the tRNAs corresponding amino acid is attached (by aminoacyl-tRNA synthetases). tRNAs cope with the degeneracy of the genetic code in two manners: having more than one tRNA (with a specific anti-codon) for a particular amino acid; and 'wobble' base-pairing, i.e. permitting non-standard base-pairing at the 3rd anti-codon position.
Source: Rfam